GCUGGGCGUAGUGGCGCACGCCUGUAGUCCCAGCUACUCGGGAGGCUGAGGCAGGAGAAUCGCUUGAACCUGGGAGGCGGAGGUGGCAGUGAGCUGAGAUUGCGCCACUGCACUCCAGCCCAGGUGACAGAGUGAGACUCUGUCUCAA
Molecule: signal recognition particle RNA, 148 nt
Filed under: Gorilla gorilla gorilla (western lowland gorilla)
Lineage: Eukaryota; Metazoa; Chordata; Mammalia; Primates; Hominidae
Also listed under: 1 other name
Description: Metazoan signal recognition particle RNA
Rfam family: Metazoan signal recognition particle RNA
About the family: The signal recognition particle (SRP) is a universally conserved ribonucleoprotein. It is involved in the co-translational targeting of proteins to membranes.
Source: Rfam by way of RNAcentral